RNAcentral lists this ribosomal RNA (430 nucleotides) under uncultured bacterium. RNAcentral describes it as "bacterial SSU rRNA". It matches the Rfam family "Bacterial small subunit ribosomal RNA", at positions 355 to 776 of the family's 1533-position model. The record is from RNAcentral.
UGGGGAAUUUUGCGCAAUGGGCGAAAGCCUGACGCAGCAACGCCGCGUGAGUGAUGAAGGUCUUCGGAUCGUAAAGCUCUGUCGGCAGGAGAGACGGGGCAGUUGGCUAACAUCCAAUUGCUUUGACGGUACCUGCAAAGGAAGCACCGGCUAACUCUGUGCCAGCAGCCGCGGUAAGACAGAGGGUGCAAGCGUUGUUCGGAAUUAUUGGGCGUAAAGCGCGCGUAGGCGGCCGGGUAAGUCGAAUGUGAAAUCCCGUGGCUCAACCAUGGAAGUGCAUUCGAAACUGCCUAGCUCGAGUGUCGGAGAGGGUGGUGGAAUUCCCAGUGUAGAGGUGAAAUUCGUAGAUAUUGGGAGGAACACCAGUGGCGAAGGCGACCGCCUGGACGACAACUGACGCUGAGGCGCGAGAGCGUGGGGAGCAAACAGG